CAAAGGAUAGUUUAAUAAAAAUAUUAAUUUUGGAGAUUAAUGAUAAGGGAUGUCCUUUCCUUUGA
RNAcentral lists this transfer RNA (65 nucleotides) under Nebrioporus millingeni. RNAcentral's name for it is "tRNA-Pro". The record is from RNAcentral. Lineage: Eukaryota; Metazoa; Arthropoda; Insecta; Coleoptera; Dytiscidae.